Molecule: small RNA, 172 nt
Filed under: Qipengyuania xiapuensis
Lineage: Bacteria; Pseudomonadati; Pseudomonadota; Alphaproteobacteria; Sphingomonadales; Erythrobacteraceae
Description: Qipengyuania sp. 1NDW9 6S RNA
Rfam family: 6S / SsrS RNA
About the family: E. coli 6S RNA was the first non coding RNA to be sequenced, but its function was unknown until recently. It consists of 184 nucleotides that fold into an extended hairpin structure with a large single-stranded internal bulge.
Source: RNAcentral
GCGGGGCUGCCCGGCACGAGCCGCACGAAUAUCCCUGAGGCUAUAAGCAAUCCAUGGGAGCUGUCCCUGCCUGGGCUUGCGGGUUUGUCCUGGAGGCUCGGGUAUACGGCGCCCACCUGACGUUACUUGGCGUCAGAGGAUUUCAAUGGCACCGACCCAUGGUGGUCCCGCU